AUCAAUAAGCGGAGGAAAAGAAACCAACAGGGAUUGCCUCAGUAGCGGCGAGUGAAGCGGCAAGAGCUCAGAUUUGAAAUCGUGCUUUGCGGCACGAGUUGUAGAUUGCAGGUUGGAGUCUGUGUGGAAGGCGGUGUCCAAGUCCCUUGGAACAGGGCGCCCAGGAGGGUGAGAGCCCCGUGGGAUGCCGGCGGAAGCAGUGAGGCCCUUCUGACGAGUCGAGUUGUUUGGGAAUGCAGCUCCAAGCGGGUGGUAAAUUCCAUCUAAGGCUAAAUACUGGCGAGAGACCGAUAGCGAACAAGUACUGUGAAGGAAAGAUGAAAAGCACUUUGAAAAGAGAGUGAAACAGCACGUGAAAUUGUUGAAAGGGAAGGGUAUUGCGCCCGACAUGGGGAUUGCGCACCGCUGCCUCUCGUGGGCGGCGCUCUGGGCUUUCCCUGGGCCAGCAUCGGUUCUUGCUGCAGGAGAAGGGGUUCUGGAACGUGGCUCUUCGGAGUGUUAUAGCCAGGGCCAGAUGCUGCGUGCGGGGACCGAGGACUGCGGCCGUGUAGGUCACGGAUGCUGGCAGAACGGCGCAACACCGCCCGUCUUGAAACACGGACCA
This 604-nucleotide ribosomal RNA is filed under the name Pichia kudriavzevii. Its description in RNAcentral is "eukaryotic LSU rRNA". It matches the Rfam family "Eukaryotic large subunit ribosomal RNA", at positions 42 to 668 of the family's 3401-position model. The record is from RNAcentral. Lineage: Eukaryota; Fungi; Ascomycota; Pichiomycetes; Pichiales; Pichiaceae.